UUUAAUGUGCAAGUUGCAACGCAUCCCUUCUCGCUUUAUAUAUAGUAGUAUAGAAUAAAGAAACCUCAUAAUAUAUAAAAAUUGAAAUAUAUAAGAUACUGACGAACGGCAGUGAUAUUCGGCCACCACUGCCGGGAAAGCCAGCGGCGGAAGAACAAGAGCGGUUGUGCGUGGACGACAUGAUGCAGAGAUGCUUCGGCGAGUUCGGGCGUUGGCAGAUGAAGCAGUUUGUGUUGACGUCUUUAGCGUGAGGACUAGAAGCCUUCACGCGAUGGUGAUGAUAUAUGCGGACCAAGAACCCAAUUUGAAGCGUUUGGGACCGAGUUGCUCGGUUGGAUCCUGGAUUUGUGAUAUAAAUCCGGAUUCAUAUAUGGUCAUGAACAUAAUACAAAAAGUAUCUACCCUCUUUUUAAGCCCUCGUCUUUCGCCAUGAUCGAUGUCAAGAAGAGGGCUUGAACGAGACCGAAUUUAUACUUCUCACCGCAAAUCAACCUGCCCCCCCACUUCACCAAUGUGGAAAUGCUUUUGGCAUUUUUCCAUUGCCAUGAACCGGAAUCCAUAUCACAAAACCAAGAUCCAACUGAGCAAUCCGAUCUAACACACUUCCACUUGGGUUCUUGGUCGGCAUAUAUCAUUAUCAUUGCGUGAAAAGCUUCUAGUCCCCAUGCUAGAGACGUCAACACAUAUAUCAUCUGCCAACGCCCCAGCUCGCCGUAGUAUCUCUGUAACAUAUCGUCCACGCACAACUUUUCUUUUUCUCCCGCCGCUGGCUUUCCCAACAGCGGAUAUCGCUGCAGUUCAUCAAAUCUUAUUUUAUCAAAAAUCGUUUAAUUAAGCCUCAAUGUCGAAUCUUGAGUAUUUGUGAGCUCAACUUAUUUCUAGUUAAUGUUUGUUGUUACUAUAGAUGAAUCAUGAUGCUUCUUGUUAUUGCAUAAUUUAUAAGUUUUAUACUCGGAAGAAAAGUAAUCCACGUAAAGUAAAA
Molecule: long non-coding RNA, 982 nt
Organism: Camelina sativa (false flax)
Lineage: Eukaryota; Viridiplantae; Streptophyta; Magnoliopsida; Brassicales; Brassicaceae
Source: RefSeq, a predicted model, not a curated record